AGGGUUGUGGGGCAACAUUUAUUUUCUUGAUAUUCUUGCAUCUCUCAGGAUACAGCAAUAAUUUUACAAUGGGUUCAAUGAAAACUAAGAUUUUCUAUAAAGAAUAAAACAGAUGAAGUGAAAGUGUAGUAGUUUUAUUAGAAUUUACUGACAGCCAUAAAGUUGUCAAUAAAAAGUUGUAUUUAAAUCAUAUUUUACUGCAACUAAUGUUUAAUUCUAAUGUCAUGCUAUAGCAAAAGUCUUUCUGCGGGCAUAUAUCAACGGCAUAAACCUGUGUGUUUAGCUAGCUAUCUAGCUAUCUAGCUAUCUCUUAAUGGUAGCGUUGGCGAUAGGGCAGUUUCCCAAACUUUUACAACCACGGCACACUUUUUCAUUCGAAAAAAUGUCACCGCCACAAAUAAUUAGUUAUGUUGCGACAAAAGAUGUUGUGAAAGUGCUAUAUAAAUAGUCCUAUUCAGAGAGAGAGAAAGAGUGCGAAGAGCGAGUGCAAGAGACAGCGAGAUUAUUAUAUAUAUUAUAUACAUCUAUAACAUCUCUCACGGCACAACAGUGUGCCAUGGCACAUUGGUUGGAAAACACUGAUAUAGAGACAAAAAAACAUCACCACUGCACAAUGAGCAAUGGUACGUUGACCUGUCAGGUUUUGAGGCUCCUCAUACAAUAGUGUUUUAUUGUACGACUUUUUGUUGAAAAAAAAAAUCCACAGAUUACAGUUGAGGAAGACGUGCAUUGCUACAAAAAUACAACAGACUCGCUCCCAUUCAUUUGAAUGAGCUGGUGAUCACGUGUACACUAAAUACAUUACUUGACAGCACCGGAUGUACCUCCCAACGGUUGCUAACACGGAAGUGUGAAGCGUCUGUCUCUCUGUCUCUCUGUCUCUCUGUCUCUCUGUCUCUCUGUCUCUCUGUCUCUCUGUCUCUCUGUCUCUCUGGCUCUCUGGCUCUCUGGCUCUCUGGCUCUCUGGCUCUCUGGCUCUCUGGCUCUCUGGCUCUCUGGCUCUCUGGCUCUCUGGCUCGCUCUUUCUCUCUUUCUCUCUCUCUCUCUCUCUUUCUCUCUCUCUUUCUCUCUCUCUUUCUCUCUCUCUUUCUCUCUCUCUUUCUCUCUCUCUUUUUCUCUCUCUUUUUCUCUCUGUUUUUCUCUCUCUUUUUCUCUUUUUCUCUUUCUCUCUUUCUCUCUUUCUCUCUCUUUUUCUCUUUUUCUCUUUCUCUUUCUCUUUCUCUUUCUCUUUCUCUUUCUCUCUCUUUCUCUCUCUCUCUUUCUCUUUCUUUCUCUCUCUUUCUCUCUCUCUUUCUCUCUCUCUUUCUCUCUUUUUCUCUCUCUCUUUUUCUCUUUUUCUCUCUCGCUCUCUUUUUCUCUCGCUCUCUUUUUCUCUCGCUCUCUUUUUCUCUCGCUCUCUUUUUCUCUCGCUCUCUUUUUCUCUCGCUCUCUUUUUCUUUCUCUCGCUCUCUCUUUCUCUCGCUCACACCGGGUACGAAAUGGCUGCGGCGCAGUUUAUCCGCGGAACACUGGCGCACUGCAACUCACAACGGCGGCAAUCAACUGCGUUGCGGCUCCGGAAAUCUCCAUUCACAAGAUCACGGGGGAACGCUGAAGAGUUGACUUCAGUCCUUGGUACACUCCCUACGCCAUCUAAUCUAUCUGUUAACUCCGUUAACUUCCUUCACAUCCUGCAUUGGGAUCCUGGGCCUGGAACCCCACCAGGUGUACAGUACACGGUCUUCUCAAGGAUCACAUGGUAUGUAGAACCAAAAGUGUCAAAAUGGACGCAUGCAUGGUGGACGCAGGCAUGGUGGACGCAGGCAUGGUGGACGCAGGCAUGGUGGACGCAGGCAUGGUGGACGCAGGCAUGGUGGACGCAGGCAUGGUGGACGCAGGCAUGGUGGACGCAGGCAUGGUGGACGCAGGCAUGGUGGACGCAGGCAUGGUGGACGCAGGCAUGGUGGACGCAGGUUAAGCGGUGAAAAGGUAAAAGAAGCACUGAAUGACUACACAACUGCAACGUCUUUACAGCUGAGGUUGGAUGAUUAUAAGUACUAUUUGACUGUCCAAGCAUUCUUCAAUGGAACCUGGUCUCCAGAGUCUGAAGAAAUCUCGUUCACUCCUUUUGAACAAACUCUGAUAGGUCCUCCAAAGGUAAUGGUGACUGACUGUGGCAACUGCAUUCUUAUCAACAUAUCCCUGCCCAAGGCUGACAAAAGCUCAGGAAUACCAAACAAUGACAUCCUGGCCUUCUACAAAGGAAAGUUCAGGGUCUUGUGGAAGAAAUCUAACAAAACUGAGGUUUGCAAAACUGAAGCCAGUAGUGUUAAAAUUGACAACUUGGAGACGGGCAAAGAGUACUGUGUUCAGAUUCAAACUGAAAUUACCAUGAAUAAUAAUACUAAGCCAUCAACCUGGGUAUGCACCUUCUCAAGUACGACUGCAGAUUUGAUCAGAGUACCUGUUCCCGGCACAUUGAUAGGUCUUGGGAUUUUUUGCAUUGGUGCCUUGAUGACAUUGACAUAUUGUCUGUACCACAAUGGAUUCGCUUCUAAAUUUCAAGCAACUCUUCCAAGAGCACUAAUUAUCCAUGCCAAAUCUCUGGCAGUAGAGGAAACGAGCCCUGAUUUCAUCUCAGUUUGCACAGAUACAUACAAACAGAAGUGCACUAUUGGCACAGCAUUAUAUCCUGCCCACAGAACCACAUGCUCAGGGAAGGAUGAGGGGGAAGUGGAUGAAGAGGAAGAAAAUGAAGGAAAUGAUUUCUACAUUAACAGAGAUGGUGAAACGUCCUCACAGGAAAGUUCCUGUCGUUAUUCUGGUGAUGUAUUAAGGACAAGUUUGACUGUGAGGUCACAGACUGAAGCAGAUGCAUCAAAGAUAUCAUCUGGGACUGUUUCAGCAGAGCUGGAUCAAUUCAAGACUGGAGUUGAAAAUUGCACUUUUUUGUUUCAGCAACCAGAAAUGGAAGUCAAGGAGCAACUCAUGUUUGAGUUGGAAGAGGAAAUUAAUGAGAAUACUGUCAGCGUGUCUGAAAAUGUCAACCUAUCAUCUGUGACUCUGACUGCUAUAACCAUAUGCGAGAAAGAACUUGUUGAUUCUUUGAGGCUUUCUGAACCUUUAAUGUUCAGAGACACAAAUGAAAUUUUGGCCCAUACAGACUUAAAUGACUUGACAUCAACGGUCUAUACAUGCUUUGGUGAAACUCGCUAUGAGAGUAAGUGUGAUGACGUUGAAACACAAGAUAGGUUGGACGAAGAACAAUUCUUAGGAUAUGUGCGACGCUGAUUUGCUUCUGCAACAUACAGUCAUAGAAACAAUUACUAGACACACAUGUUGCCUCAGUUACCUGUUCAUUUUUUUCAAAGUAGGCACUUUUUAACGGAGACAACUUUGCACAUCUUGGUAUUUUGUUCAAAUUUAUAUGUAUCACCUCAUUUUUGAAGGGGUACCAGGUAAAAAUAAAAAUGUUAAAAAGUUUUGCAAAAAUGGAAAUAAACAGAUAACAAAUAACAAACGUAUACAACAUACAUAACAUUCACACAAACAUUCUUGUCGUGAAAAUGAAGAAGUCUGAUUAAGAUGCUUCUUGGUUUGUUGCGGGGAUCUGGACGCUUCGGAAAAGUGGUAGGAGUGCAGUGAGCCCUCUAGCUCUUAAGCGGUGAUGGGAAGUUCUCCUGCCCCAGAAUGUGGAAGAUCUGCUGUGUCAUGAGUCUGACCAUGUCUCCAGAUUCUGCAAACUCAGGUACGCCAACAAAACAAAGGUUGUUACGUCGGCUGCGAUUUUCAAGAUCCUCAACUUUGUUUGUCCGACUCCAGUCGAUAAAUGCCGGUCAUGAGAUUGUUACGUUGUCCUCAUUAGAUGAGAUGUGUUGUUCAAGCAGAUCGAAUUGCUCAGACUGGGUGGAUAGUGAGCUUUGAAUCAUAUCCAAGCUGGUCUGGACUGUAUCAAUUUUAGUGUCCAGGUGAGGCAGCAUAUCAGCUCUCACCUGUUGAAUAGCAGCCAACACUGCCUGUAGCAUCAUUUGUUCCAGCCAUCGUACUAUAAGUAGUGCACAAAAUGUCCUGUUAGAUUAAGGCUCCGAUGUAGGUGGGAUUAGUUGAAUUGGAAAGUCGCUCAGGAUUCAGUACGCUAAUAUGGAAGCAGUUGGCAGACUCGAGCUUAAGACGUGCUCACUCUCGAUGCGGUCAUCUUGUUUCUCAUGCUUUUCAUUUUCUCAGUCAGCUUUAUGAUGUGGAUGAUGCUUUAUCACCAGAAUUACUUUCACUUUAUAGCUGAAUCUCUGAUGCCUGCAAGAACAAGACGAACGUCAUGGGACAGGGCACAGACCACCCCUUAAAAACCACCAUUGAUGGACACAUGUUUUGUGGCUGUGAACAACAUCAUCUACCGUUUUUUUCCGUGUAUAGUGCGCCCCCAUGUAUAGUACGCACCCCUAACAAUGGCAUGCUGAUGCUGGAAAAAAGCUUGUACCCAUGUAUAAUACGCACCCAAUUUUUAUGAAUUUUUUUAAAAAAAAAUUUUUUUUUUUUUUUUUUUUUUUUUUUUUUAAGUCCCAAAGAUCGUCACACACGCAGGGAGGCAAUGGGUCCCAUUUUUAAAGUCUUUGGUAUGGUCUUAACUAGGCUGGAUGUCAUUUUUUUUGUUGGCGUUGAUUUCUCCGACUGCCCCUAAACGCACCACCGCGCUCCGUGCGCACACGGCGGCUCUGUAUGGGAGAGACGUUGAAGAGGAAUAAAAACACCCUUGGAAACCAAAACUUGCCCCUCGUCGUGACUCGGAGCCGCAACAAAUGUUUCGGAUUUGUGUAGGGUACAUUGUGACAGACGGCAAACUAGCAGGUGAUCGAGCGAGCGUCUGAUACAAGAGCAUUGCGGUCGUAUGGAGCGUGUUUGAAAUGAACAGCAGAGACGAAAGGAACAAGGCAAAGUGUUGUGAAAUAAAAUAUUACCUGUAAUACGCAUUUUGUUAUUUGCUGAUUGAAACUGCUAAUUAAACUGUGAAUUGAAACUAAUAGGUGGAGAACUGAACUCUCGCUCUUUAUAUAGCUGACGUGUCUUGCGCAACCGUUCUGCGCAUCUGUAAUGGCGGCCUCCGUAUGACGUCCGGUCCGCGAUGGAGAUUAAAAAACAAACAAUAUUUGACAAUAACACACCAUCGAGGAUUGCACCAUCGCAUCAAACGAUGUGUCGUCAAUUAUGAAUUUUACUAAGUGUGUUGGGCAGGAUGGCUGAAUGCGAUGCGCGAUUGACAACAAACAAGAAGAAAGGUGAGUUUUAUUUCGGGGGAGAUUUGUCAUGUCUCGUCCCCAGUUUUGCUAUGUGUCUAGGUUGCCAUAGUUUCUGUUCGUGUCACCCCGCUCUUCCUGUGUCACCUCAAUCGAUGUAACGUGUUUUGUAUUUAAGUCCUGUCUGCCCCUCGCUCACCGUUGGAUCAUUGCAUGUGUUACUGUCAUUCUGUUCCUGUCUUUGGUAAUGUCACCCUGUCUUUUUGUUCCACGACUUUGUCGGUCAGUCCUGUUGUUGGUUCUGUUGUACCAUGACUUUAUUUAAAAAAAAAAAAAUAAUUAAAAAAUUUUUUCUUUGUACCCAUGUAUAAUACGCACCCCAGAUUUUAGGACAAUAAAUUAGUAAAAUAUUGCGCACUAUACACGGAAAAAAUUGGUACCUUAUGUGCACCAUCACAAGCUUGCGCACCCUGAGGCAGCAGUCAAGAGCAGUCUUAUCCGCAUUACACCAGAUGUCUGGAACAACCCCAGCCUUAUGGAGAAGACCAAGCUGCAUGUCUACCAAGCCUGCAUGCUCAGGACUCCCCUCUAUGGCAACAAGGCCUGCAACCAGAUGCGAGAGAGUGGAGGAAACUCCAGUUCCCACCAAAGAUACUGCCUCACAUUCAGCAAAUCUCGAAGGAUGAGGUACCGGACCAGGAGGCGCUGGUACAUGCCGGUAUAAUGAGCAUGGUGGCCAUCCUGAGAGAGGGAGGGAGACACUCGGCCACCUUUGCAGGAUGGACCUCUUGUAAGACAAACUGGCGAAGGCUACUCAACUGACCGGAUGCCCACGCCUCCACUAGGAUGUGUCCAAGUAGGACCUAAAGCAGUGUCGUAUCGAUGCCGAGGACUGCACGAGACGCAGUGUGUAAGAGGGUGAAAAAGCAAAACAUGAGGGCCUUGCUGAGAAAAAGUGCUAGGAGGAAGGAGAAGAGAGUGCAAGACAGAAUUAAACAAUGUUCAUUUAGACCAGCAGUGUCCAAACUACGGCCCGCGGGCCAACUGCGGCCCAUGGUCCAUUUUUUAUCGGCCCGCAGCAAGUUUUAAAUAUAUAAUUGAAAAUCGCCCUCACAUAAAACUUGCACUGGUGUGGUGUAAUUCUUAGUUUCAACACUAGGUGGAGCGCCAGUUUUCAACAAGGCAGGUUUUCCACUAAAUAAAAUUAAUAAAAGAAAACAUUUGCCACGAAAAAAAUGGGAGAACCAAAGAAACGCAAGAUAGCAGGUGAUGCAGAAAAUUUCAGAAACGGUGGGAAAAUAAAUAUUUCUUCAUAGAAGUCAAGGGGAAAUGUGUCUGAUUUGCCAAAAAACUGUUGCAGUGAUGAAAGACGCUAAUGUGCGAAGAAACUGAAAAAAGAUGAUGAGUCUGUUCGGCUCGGCAUACAUAUAUGAGCAAACGUUUUCUCUGUUAACUCUGAACAAAAGCACAUUGAGAACCAAAAUGACCAUCUGCAUGAUGUCCUUCGCAUCUCAACCAUCAAACUCACUCCUGACCUGCCAGCAAUCCUUCAGUCCAAAGCGCAGCAUCACUGCUCCCACUAAGUGCAACGCUGUUCCUAUUAAAGGGCUAUGAAGAGGGAUCACCAUCCUGACUAAGAGGCAAUCUAAGGCUGCUAUUUUGAAAAUGAGCUGCCAAUCCUUUUUGAAACAAAUAUAAAUACAUACAUUAAUGGAAAGUUGUGAUGUAGGUUUUUUUUUUUCCUUUAAGCAUAUUCAAUUAUUAAGCAUAAUUUACCUACAUUUGAAAUUUGAUUUUGUUAACUUUAAUACACUAGAGGUGAGGCAAUAAACCUCAUCUCUAGUGAGUGGCCCAGCCUUUCAUAUAUUUUUCUGCAUGUGGCCCUCCAUGAAAAAAGUUUGGACACUCCUGAUUUAGACCAAGUGUAAUAGAGACUGUCACUCACAGGUCGGGCUCUUCAGCCACUCCUGCAGGUGCCACUGAGCCAUUAAAACAGAUUUACUCCAUCUUCUCCUGGACGGAAAGAUGCUGACAACGUUCAUUUAAAAGAUGUGCAUUUUCAAGAGUUAAUACCGUUUUUUUCCCUGUAUAGUGCGCCCCCAUGUAUAAUACGCACCCUAAAAAUGGCAUGCUGAUGCUGGAAAAAAGCCUGUACCCAUGUAUAAUACGCACCCAAUUUUUAUGAAUUUUUUUUAAAUUCUAUUUUUUUUUUUUUUUUUUUAAGUCCCAAUGAUCGUCACACACGCAGGGAGGCAAUGGGUCCCAUUUUUAUAGUCUUUGGUAUGGUCUUAACUAGGCUGGAUGUAAUUUUUUUUGUUGGCGUUGAUUUCUCCGACUGCCCGUAAACGCACCACCGCGCUCCGUGCGCGCACGGGACAGCAAACGAGCAGGUGAUCGAGCAAGCGUCUGAUACGAGAGCAUUGCGGUCGCAUGGAGCGUGUUUCCUACAGGUAACUGGGGGUACACAUUAAAAACAAACUGGACUAGACCGACAACACCGAGGCUCUUAUCAAGAAGGGGCAGAGCAGGAUGUUUUUCCUGAGAAGGCUGAGGUUGUUUAAUGUUUCUAAUAGGCUACUGAGAACGUUUUACCAGUCAGUAGUCUCCGGUGUCCUGUUCUUUGCUGUGGCCUGCUGGGGAGACAACAUCUGUGCCAAGGACACUACCAGGCUGAACAAGCGGGUGAAGAAAGCCAGCUCGGUGGUGGGGACCGGGUUGGACAGCCUGGAGGUCGUGGCUGAACAGAGGAUGAGGGUAAAAACUGGCGGCCAUGUUGGCCAAUCCCUCCCAUCCACUGUACAUCGAGCUGACAGUGAUGAGGAGCAAAUUCAGCGACAUAUUUGUCCUCCCCCGUCAGAGCACACAGAGAUUUGGACAGUCGUUUAUUCGAGCUGCACUCCGACUCUACAACCAGGCCCUGCCGGCAUGGGGAGACCGGGAGCUAGAGUUGAUAGGCUAACUGACUUGGGACUUUUAUUUGCACAUGAUGCAUUUUAGAAAACUUCCAGCUUGCAUUGCAUAUUUAUUGGACCAGCAGUGUGUUUAUAUUUUACAUUGUCAACUCUGUUUUUCUGUUUGUCUUCCUCUUUUUAAACGUCAUGAGCUGUUUGACAACUGACAACUGAUUUUCCCCAGAAGUGACAAUAAAGGUUUCAAUCAAUCAA
Molecule: RNA transcript, 8374 nt
Organism: Syngnathus typhle (broad-nosed pipefish)
Lineage: Eukaryota; Metazoa; Chordata; Actinopteri; Syngnathiformes; Syngnathidae
Gene name: interferon alpha/beta receptor 2-like
Exons: 9
Source: RefSeq, a predicted model, not a curated record